This 198-nucleotide non-coding RNA is filed under the name unclassified sequences. The record is from Rfam.
UCCGGAUAAACUUGUAUCCAUCCAAGAGAAUGGAGCAAGUCACUUUACGGAAUUAAUAUAAGUAAUACAUUUCAGGAUUGAUAAAGACUUACAUAUAAGUGAAAUUCUGAAAUGAUAGGAUAACCGUACGUCCUUUGGUGUGAAACACCAUAAAAGUAAUCUUGAAUAACUUUUGUUAAGUUUUCAAGUUACGGAACA